Brassica napus (rape) is the source of this 682-nucleotide long non-coding RNA. RefSeq lists it as uncharacterized. The record is from RefSeq and is a predicted model, not a curated record. NCBI's taxonomy places the organism in Eukaryota, Viridiplantae, Streptophyta, Magnoliopsida, Brassicales, Brassicaceae. The transcript has 2 exons.
AUAGAUUGGCAUCAUUAACCCAAACUUAACUAUUCCUCACCACUACGACCACGAUCAAGAAUUCAAUGAAUCUUGUCCAACUUCCAGUCGGUGAUUCUCACCUAUAAAAAGUCUUAUCUACUGUUGGCUCAAUACAAACCACAUGGAGGUUGAAGAUCUUAGCUUCCGCCGUUCAGUAUGAAGCGAGCUUAGUCGGAAAGCUUUGGCGAAGAUUCUCUGUGAGGAGAUGAAAUUUAUAUUUAACUAGUUGUUUUAAUUUAUAUGCAAAACUCUAGAACAAUAACUAAGUAAUAUCUCAUAAUGGGUUAGUAAUGUUGGAGUCUUGACUUCUCGGCUCGAGCUUUCGAAUAAGCUGUUAUGUUGAACGGUUCAUCUCAGGUCGCCGUCGACGGUGAUCCGUCGUGUCUCCUUGCUGGUUCCGGAGGAAGAAAACGGCUUCUCGCUUGGACGCGUGUCUCUGGCUUGCUGACGCAAUCAAACACAUGUGGAAUGGAUGCGGUUUCUUCCUCAACGGGUUUUGCUUCUUUGGACUGACAAUCCAAGAAGUUUUAUGUACAGUUGGCCUGUUGUUUAGGUCUUUCGUUUUUUUUUUCUGUAUGUUGGGCUUUGGUUCCGUGUGGGCUUUAGCCUUUUGAUAAAAUACCCACUUGACAGAAAGAAAAAAAAAAGUAAUGUUGGAGUC